This 503-nucleotide ribosomal RNA is filed under the name uncultured bacterium. RNAcentral's name for it is "bacterial SSU rRNA". It matches the Rfam family "Bacterial small subunit ribosomal RNA", at positions 791 to 1296 of the family's 1533-position model. The record is from RNAcentral.
UAGUCCACGUCGUAAACGAUGGAUACUAGCUGUCUGGAACCUUGAGUUCUGGGCGGCCAAGCGAAAGUGAUAAGUAUCCCACCUGGGGAGUACGUUCGCAAGAAUGAAACUCAAAGGAAUUGACGGGGGCCCGCACAAGCGGUGGAGCAUGUGGUUUAAUUCGAUGAUACGCGAGGAACCUUACCAGGGCUUAAAUGUAUUCUGACAGCUUUAGAGAUAGAGUUUCCUUCGGGCAGAUUACAAGGUGCUGCAUGGUUGUCGUCAGCUCGUGCCGUGAGGUGUCAGGUUAAGUCCUAUAACGAGCGCAACCCCUGCCGUUAGUUGCCAGCAUGUAAUGGUGGGGACUCUAGGAAGACUGCCGGCGUAAGCCGUGAGGAAGGUGGGGACGACGUCAAAUCAUCAUGGCCUUUAUGCCUAGGGCUACACACGUGCUACAAUGGUGCAUACAGCGGGUAGCGAAAUCGCGAGGUGGAGCUAAUCUUGUAAAGUGCAUCCCAGUUCGG